ACAGGCAGGCAGGGGCAGCAAGAUGGUGCCACAGACUCUGGUCCUCCUGUCCCUGCUGCUCUGGGCCUCUGGUACCAGUGGGGACAUCAUAAUGACCCAGUCUCCAGCCUCCCUGGCUGCAUCUCCAGGAGGAAUGGUCACCAUCAACUGCAAGGCCAGCCAGAGUCUUUUUGACAGCUCCAACAACAAAGACUAUUUAAACUGGUACCAGCAGAAACCAGGACAGGCUCCUAAGCUGCUCAUCUACUUUGCAUCUAACCGGGAUUCUGGGGUCCCUGACCGGUUCAGUGGCGGUGGGUCUGGGACAGACUUCACUCUCACCAUCAGCAACUUCCAGGCUGAAGACGCUGCAGUUUAUUACUGUAUGCAGAAUUAUGAUGAUCCACCCACAGUGCUUCAGCUUCGAACAAAAACCUCCUCCCAAGGGCUACAGGCCAAUGAAUCUUCACUGCACCAGCUGCUUCCUUUCUGCUCAGCCCUGAACAUGCACGCUUCCUCUCUCUGCCCCAAGGACUGCAUCUCCUGAUGAAUUCCUUGGAGUAUUUGCAGGUACCAGGAGAAACGUAAGGGAUGUGGUUUGUUCUGGAUCCCAUUUUGUGGUACACGAAAGAAAAAAAAACUCUAAAAAUCUCUCGUAGACUUUGUCAGGAGUUUUCAUAUCACAGGAACCUGCAUGUUUCACAUGGAUAGAUCACAUGACUGAUUUAGGGUAGUGUCCAGUGUGCUUUACACCCUGAAAGAACAGUUUUCUCUUCCCUGGGCAUUGUUGACUCUCGAAUAUUCCCGGUUCAUUUCCUUCUUUUCCUGGACUUUUUCCUUUCUCUUCCAUUAUGCCUCAUAACUCUGGAUCUAACCCAAUACUAAAUUUGUGCCUUCAUAUUUAAAAUCUCCCUCACAGAAGGGAGUAUUCCUCUCUUACAUUUUCCUUCCAUGGAUCCUGUUUUCCAGCCAAACCUUCCAGGUCCACAUCAGUGAAGGUGUUUUCCUGCUCUAAGCUCCCAUUUUACUGCCCCUUUCUCCUCUGUCCAUGUCUUUCAGUGUCACUCAUUCUUUCAAAGGCCAGACUCUAACUCAUUAACCAUAUCACUCUAGAAACAUGUGAUAGUUUUCCCAUUUCUUUUUUCGUUAUUUGUCAAUUCCUCUUUA
Loxodonta africana (African savanna elephant) is the source of this 1146-nucleotide non-coding RNA. NCBI's taxonomy places the organism in Eukaryota, Metazoa, Chordata, Mammalia, Proboscidea, Elephantidae. The record is from the annotation of a RefSeq genome assembly.